ACCUGCUGGGACGGGACCCAGCCCGCGCUUCCCCCCACUACAGGCCGCGUCUUCAUUGUGCUCCUGCUGCCGCCGCCGCCAUUUUCCCCGCCGCCGCCGCCUCAGUCCCCGCAUCUGUCAGGUCCUCCAUUCACCUGGGCCCGGGACGGCCGCCCUCCCUCCCCCUUCCCCCCGCGCUACGGGCCGGCGCUACGCAAACGGAGCGCCGCCCCGCCCCUCCCGCCCGUACCAACGGGGCCGCCCAGGCCCGCGGCGCAACCCCGCUCCGAGAAUGCCGCCCUGCGCAGACCGCACGCUCCGCAUUCCCCACGCGAUGAGAGGAGCCCGGCGAUUGGCUGCCGGGGCUGGGUAAAAGAACUCUGUAAUCACACCAGUGGAAACCGGGCUUUUUGGCUCCACUCGUCUCAUCAGGUUCUAAAAUGGACUCUGAAGAGAUUCCUUCCUGCAAGACAAUGGUGACCUCUGUUGUUCCCUCCCGUUGGUACCAGCCAUGAUGCUGUUUUGGCCUUGUGUCACGCACUAUUUCAAUAGUGGACUUUGAAACAAGCGGGCAGUUACUGAGAAAAUCUGGGCUGAAGUGUUGCAUUCAAGUUUCUGUCCAGGAAAGGAUGUGUCUAUUCUGCACUCUGCUUAAGAAAAUUUUCCCUGCGGGUUUCGUCUCAAGCAGCCCCUAGUCUGGCUACCAGGUUUUCCAGUUCAUAGCUGUGAAUCACUGCAGGAAGGAGCAGUUGCAAACAUUUUAAGCCACAGUGCAGUAAUAACACCUGCAAUGUGUUAUGAGAAAAAGCUGCAGGUAUUAUUAUAGAGAAGGAAGUUGGAAAAAAUAAUAACCUGUUUUGAACAGAUUCCAUUUCUAAAACUGGAGCUGAGAUUUUAAAAAGGUGUUAGGUGGCACAAAUCUUUGUGUUGCCCUAAGAUGCUUUAAAAAAAAUUUUUGGUGUACUUUCACACUUCAGUGACUCAGACUUCUUAACUCCAAGGAUAUUUUCCCUAGCGCAAGAGAAACUUCAAUAGUUUUAACUGCUUUCUUUUUUAACCUCUUUAAAUUGCUGAUAUGAGGACAUGAGCUGACAUAGUUUGGAAACUGACUCCUCUCUCUCCAGAAAAUUCUUUCCAGGCAAACUUCUCUACUUUUUCCUUGGAUUUCUCCAGACUGAUGAUCUCCUCCAUCAUCUUCUACCUGUGCUAUGGUCUCUAGAGUGUCUCUAUCACAGUGACACGUCAGUAAAGAAACCCCUCAAACUCAGAUGAUUGGUAAAGAAGAAUAAGGAUGAAGAAAAAUAAAUGUUGUGUUAGGAAACA
Manacus vitellinus (golden-collared manakin) is the source of this 1302-nucleotide long non-coding RNA. The record is from Ensembl. Lineage: Eukaryota; Metazoa; Chordata; Aves; Passeriformes; Pipridae.